RNAcentral lists this non-coding RNA (266 nucleotides) under Lathyrus oleraceus (garden pea). Lineage: Eukaryota; Viridiplantae; Streptophyta; Magnoliopsida; Fabales; Fabaceae. The record is from RNAcentral.
UGGGGUAUGUGGUUCGGUGAAGCACGUGACUUAGUAAACCCUAAACCCAUCCCUCUCUCAGUAGAGGUUAAUUUAAUCGUUGGGGUGAUUCGCCUGUGUUUUCCCCUUGUCAGUUUAAAAAUGAAACACUGAUGCCUCGCACGUGCUGGAUCCAUGAUGAACCUUAGGGAGAGGUUUGUAGGGAUGUGCUUGCUUUCAUCACUGGAGAUGAUGCCUCGCGAUUAACUAUGUUCCUCACCUCUCCCCUCAUACCCCACCACUAUUUU